GCUACAAACCCGGCUAUCGUCUCGAUUUAUCGGGAAGGAAAGUCCGGACAGCACAGAGUAAUGUACCGGUGAAGAGCCGGGUGUAAGGCUAUAAAUGCCAUGCAACAGAUAGUGCCACAGAAAAUAACUGUCCCGGCUGAAAAGUUGGGAUGAGGGUGAAAAUGUGAGGUAAGAGCUCACAGUCCCGCUAAGUAAUUAUCGGGACGGGUAAACCUUACAUGCUGAAAUGCCACGUAUAGUAAUGUUUGAAGGCUACUCGCCUGAAUCGCUGCAAGGCGUGCAUUACAGGGUGGGCAGAUUGAUUCUUAUGGGCAACUAUAAGAACAGAUAAAUGAUGGCCCGCAUCAGCAAUGAUGCGAACAGAAUCCGGCUUAUGGGUUUGUAGCUUUU
This 390-nucleotide RNase P RNA is filed under the name Bacteroidota bacterium. RNAcentral describes it as "Bacteroidetes bacterium RNase P RNA component class A". It matches the Rfam family "Bacterial RNase P class A". From Rfam's summary of the family: Ribonuclease P (RNase P) is a ubiquitous endoribonuclease, found in archaea, bacteria and eukarya as well as chloroplasts and mitochondria. Lineage: Bacteria; Pseudomonadati; Bacteroidota. The record is from RNAcentral.